Molecule: ribosomal RNA, 821 nt
Filed under: uncultured Actinomycetes bacterium
Lineage: Bacteria; Bacillati; Actinomycetota; Actinomycetes
Description: bacterial SSU rRNA
Rfam family: Bacterial small subunit ribosomal RNA
Source: RNAcentral
AUGCAAGUCGAACGGUGAAGCUCCCAGCUUGCUGGGGGUGGAUCAGUGGCGAACGGGUGAGUAACACGUGGGCAACCUGCCCCAGACUCCGGAAUAAGCGCUGGAAACGGCGUCUAAUACUGGAUAUGAGAUCAAGCCGCCUGGCUAUGGUCUGGAAAGUUUUUCGGUUUGGGAUGGGCUCGCGGCCUAUCAGCUUGUUGGUGAGGUAAUGGCUCACCAAGGCGACGACGGGUAGCCGGCCUGAGAGGGCGACCGGCCACACUGGGACUGAGACACGGCCCAGACUCCUACGGGAGGCAGCAGUGGGGAAUAUUGCACAAUGGGCGAAAGCCUGAUGCAGCGACGCCGCGUGAGGGAUGACGGCCUUCGGGUUGUAAACCUCUUUCAGCAGGGAAGAAGCGAAAGUGAUGGUACCUGCAGAAGAAGCACCGGCUAACUACGUGCCAGCAGCCGCGGUAAUACGUAGGGUGCGAGCGUUGUCCGGAAUUAUUGGGCGUAAAGAGCUUGUAGGCGGUUUGUCGCGUCUGCUGUGAAAAUCCGGGGCUCAACCCCGGACUUGCAGUGGGUACGGGCAGACUAGAGUAUGGUAGGGGAGACUGGAAUUCCUGGUGUAGCGGUGAAAUGCGCAGAUAUCAGGAGGGACACCGAUGGCGAAGGCAGGUCUCUGGGCCAUUACUGACGCUGAGAAGCGAAAGCAUGGGGAGCGAACAGGGAUUAGAUACCCUGGUAGUCCAUGCCGUAAACGUUGGGCGCUAGGUGUGGGACUCAUUUCCACGAGUUCCGUGCCCGCAGCUAACGCAUUAAGCGGCCCCGCCUGGGGA